This 678-nucleotide long non-coding RNA is filed under the name Homo sapiens (human). RNAcentral's name for it is "HSALNT0302240". Lineage: Eukaryota; Metazoa; Chordata; Mammalia; Primates; Hominidae. The record is from RNAcentral.
GCCCUCAGUAGCUGAAUUAACCCAGCUACCUUUAUUUGCAAACAGAAGGACUCAAUUUAUACAGAGAGGUAGAGAACUAUCCUCAUGCCCAGAAUGAAGCUAUGAAUCCUGAUUAUGCUCAAGUGUAAGGCAGAGAGAAGGAGGAAGAGGAGGGCUUGGUUUUGCUGUGUUAGGGGUGGCUGAGGUGGAGGAAAAUCUGUGUACAAGAAGACACCCGCAGUUCAAACCUGUGUUGUUCAAGGAUCAAUUGUGCUUUAUCUUUUAACAGCAAAGUGCUGUUGGAAGAAGAUACAUAAAUUUAAUACUUCUCAAUCCUGGACGGAAUGUUGGGGGUGGAGGAGUUUAAGAAAAUACUGAUGAUCAGAUCCCACCUGAGACCAAGAAUAUUAGAAUCUCUGGGGUAGUACUGGGCAUUGGUAUAUUUUUUUAAGCUUCCCAGCUGUUACCAGUUCAUAUGGAUUGGAUAUUUGUCUCCUCCAAAUCUCAUGUUGAAAUGCAAUCCUCAGUGUUGGAGGUGGGGCCUGGUGGGAGGUGUUUGGAUCAUGGGGGCGGGUCCCUCAUGAAAGGCUUGGUGUCCUCCCCGUGAUAAUGAGUGAAGUCUUGCUUUAUUCAUUCACGUGAAAACUGGCUUAAAAGAGCCUGGCACCUCUCUUGCUCCCUCUCACCAUGUAACACGCC